RNAcentral lists this ribosomal RNA (486 nucleotides) under Salmonella enterica subsp. enterica serovar Oslo. RNAcentral's name for it is "bacterial SSU rRNA". It matches the Rfam family "Bacterial small subunit ribosomal RNA", at positions 72 to 544 of the family's 1533-position model. The record is from RNAcentral. Lineage: Bacteria; Pseudomonadati; Pseudomonadota; Gammaproteobacteria; Enterobacterales; Enterobacteriaceae.
CUUGCACUCAAUUGGAAAGAGGAGUGGCGGACGGGUGAGUAACACGUGGGUAACCUACCCAUCAGAGGGGGAUAACACUUGGAAACAGGUGCUAAUACCGCAUAACAGUUUAUGCCGCAUGGCAUAAGAGUGAAAGGCGCUUUCGGGUGUCGCUGAUGGAUGGACCCGCGGUGCAUUAGCUAGUUGGUGAGGUAACGGCUCACCAAGGCCACGAUGCAUAGCCGACCUGAGAGGGUGAUCGGCCACACUGGGACUGAGACACGGCCCAGACUCCUACGGGAGGCAGCAGUAGGGAAUCUUCGGCAAUGGACGAAAGUCUGACCGAGCAACGCCGCGUGAGUGAAGAAGGUUUUCGGAUCGUAAAACUCUGUUGUUAGAGAAGAACAAGGACGUUAGUAACUGAACGUCCCCUGACGGUAUCUAACCAGAAAGCCACGGCUAACUACGUGCCAGCAGCCGCGGUAAUACGUAGGUGGCAAGCGUUGU